AGUGAACGCUGGCGGUAGGCCUAACACAUGCCAGUCGAACGGCAGCACAGUAAGGGCUUGCUCUUACGGGUGGCGAGUGGCGGACGGGUGAGGAAUACAUCGGAAUCUACUUUUUCGUGGGGGAUAACGUAGGGAAACUUACGCUAAUACCGCAUCCGACCUACGGGUGAAAGCAGGGGAUCUUCGGACCUUGCGCGAUUGAAUGAGCCGAUGUCGGAUUAGCUAGUUGGCGGGGUAAAGGCCCACCAAGGCGACGAUCCGUAGCUGGUCUGAGAGGAUGAUCAGCCACACUAGAACGUAGACGCGGUCCAGACGCCUACGGGAGGCAGCAGUGGGGAAUAUUGGACAAUGGGCGCAAGCCUGAUCCAGUCAUACCGCGUGGGUGAAGAAGGCCUUCGGGUUGUAAAGCCCUUUUGUGGGGAAAGAAAAGCAGCAGGUUAAUACCCCGCUGUUCUGACGGUACCCAAAGAAUAAGCACCGGCUAACUUCGUG
RNAcentral lists this ribosomal RNA (492 nucleotides) under uncultured bacterium. RNAcentral's name for it is "partial 16S ribosomal RNA". It matches the Rfam family "Bacterial small subunit ribosomal RNA", at positions 29 to 507 of the family's 1533-position model. The record is from RNAcentral.